Molecule: long non-coding RNA, 4884 nt
Filed under: Sus scrofa (pig)
Lineage: Eukaryota; Metazoa; Chordata; Mammalia; Artiodactyla; Suidae
Description: lncRNA (ENSSSCG00000042281.2)
Source: RNAcentral
UCUGGAGAGCAGACACUGAUUCUGUAAACUUGGGCUUGAAUGAUGUCCACAGCAGAACAAAUUACAGCAAGACCUGAGUGUCCCUAUAGUCUGAUCCCAUUUUAAAUACCCAACCUUAGGAAUGGUCCUUCCCCCUCCCCCAUUUACAGGCGUUCCUAGCAGGCCACAGCUUCUUGGCGACAGUCACGUCUGUUGGGUUCACAUUCUCUGUGUUAUUCCCCACAAGCAUGUAUUUUUAUGAUCUUUAUCCUAUUUUGCUCUACUUUUCCUUUCUCUUUUUAAGACAUCAGCAUUGGCCACCCAGGACUUAAGAGGAAUUUUCAUAUAAAGCACAGUCUGUGAUGGGAACAACUUGCACAGGAGCUUUGGGAACUGUGAACCUCUGUGUGAACGUGACACAGGGAGAGGGGACAUUAGAUAUGCUAAUAUUUGAGUAGCCUUCUGGCCUCUAAUUGUUCACCAGCCUCAAUCAAUAAGAUUUUUGUAGGUCGUAGGUAUGUGCAGUUGCACCCCGUGUAGGGUUCCUGUCCUUUUGACGUUAGGCUGGGUGUUCCCCUGUCUAUUGAGCAAGUUCCUAAGGUCUUGAGAGUGAGGGCAGAGGGAUGCCUGUUGUAUAGCAUCGUUGGUUUGCGUUAAAUUCUUCAGUUCAGUUAUUGAUGCUGUUUUUAUUCAUCCUCAAUUUGAAGAUUAUAUUCAUGCCAUGCAAGUGGUUUCCAUAUUCUUCUUUUUAAAAUAUCAAUACAGUAAAAUUAUAAAAACAUACCACAUUCAUGAAAGUUUCCUUCCAGAGUAUAGAUGCAGAUGGUAUUAUUAUUAUUAUUAUUAUUAUUAUUAUUAUUAUUAUUUUGCUUUUUAGGGCCUCACCUGCAGCAUCUGGAAGUUCCCAGGCUAAGGGUUGGCAGCUAUAGCUCCAAUUAGACCCCUAGCCUGGGAGCCUCCAUAUGUCACAGGUGUGGCCCUAAAAAAAAAAAAAGUGAAAAGAGGAAAAAAAAGAAAUUAAGGGCUUAGCGAUGCCAUGUAACAAAUUACGUGAACACAUUGGAUCUGUUUGUUUUUAUUCUUUGGUCUCAUUAAGUGGAAGCUUGUGUUUUUCUCCUCCUGCCAUCAUGAACCGCCCCCCCCAAUUCCCACCCAAGAUAGAAGCGCAUUAAUAGCCUGAAAAUAAAGGACAGGCUUUUUCUAAGCUCCUCUUUUAGCAAACUGUCUACUAGUCCCUUCAGAAAAUGAGCUCUGUCACAUUGAUGCUCUUUAAGAGAAAAGCAAUUUUUCUUACUCAAUUUGCCCAAUUGUCAAGAAAUUCUACUCUGCUAUAAGUGAUCAGGUUUGGUUAAAGUCGAGAGAAAUACAUACAAAAGGUCAUAUUUUACUCCUUUGUGGUUGGCUUUCAAAGGAUGCUUUGAUUCGAAAACCAAGCAGUCACUGUUAACAUGAUGAGGUCUUAAAACAAGUGUUUUUCUGCCCCCAUCACAGACAUAUCUGAAAAAGGCCCCUCUUCUCCCAAACCCCAGGGAUGACACUCAGAGGCUGUGUCUUCAGUGUCUCAGCGCCCAGGAGGGAAGAUCAUUUCCAUAUUUGAAAUUUAGGGGCAAGCGGAAAUAACUUUGUUUUUCUCAAAGGGUUAAUACUCUAAACAGCUUCAGAUUGGUUCACUCGCAUCUUAAAAUUACUUUUCUGGUCACGCGCACUGAAGGUCUAAGCAUUUGUGAAAUGUCUUUUUCUUUUUCUUCCUCCCGAUGCUGUGCUGUUCUCUUCUGGCUGUCUUAAUUACACAAGGGUUGAGAAACCAAAUUAAAAUUAGGCGUGGCUGGUAAACAGCGAUCACGUUGCCUGCUUUCAGCUUUGCUUGUUGGAGUUACUUCUCCUUGUAUCACUUUCCUUCCCACUUUUUUUUUUUCCAAAGGAAAUAUCAUGAGCUCUUUUAGAAAUACUCACAGGAAGUGAGUGUCCACACGCCGGUUAUUCACCAGCUGAGCGCUGACAGGUGGAGGUACUGCUGCUGCCCUCCCAGAUUUAUUUGAGCAUUUCCACCAGAGCAGGGGAGUACUCGGGGUAUACAGACCAAAGGGGUUUUGUGUACUGAGGGAGUUGUGAGAGGAAAUUGGUCAUCGCUCGUCAUCGUGGUGGACAGUGACUCAGGGAGCUGUGAUGAGGGGUCAGCAAGGCACGUGGCCGCCGUCUCUGAGGUCUCUGCUCCCUACUCAGGGGGCGGGCUGUCUUCUAAAAAUGAAUGCUCCCUCCACCGCCAGCAACGAUUCUUGUGCAGUGAAUCACUUCCAGAAAUGAAUAGCCACAGUUUUUUGGAAUGAAUGUUGUGAAAUCCCUCGUUUAUAAUGGCAGGUUUUCCGUUGGUGGUUUUUAUCAGAGAGAAUUUCUCAAGAUCAAAACGAAACCUCCUCUUUACAAAGAAAGAAAGUACUCUCGAUACAGAAAGCAAAAGUAUUUCCACUCUCCUCCUGACGAGCUGUCACAGAAGAUCUCUGUACCUGUGUUUAGAGAUCCACGUCCAUGUACUUGCCUGAACGCACGAGUCCUUGAAAUCACGAGUUCAUUGCCGUAACUGGUGGUCUCCUAUGCAGCAGGUUGCUAACUCCGAGCAGUGUUAUGUGCGGUGAGUAGGUGGUAGACUCCGAAGAUCAUUGCUAAUCCAGUGUUCGUCCUCUUGAGUCAUGGAUUCAGAGGACUGCCAGCAAGCUCUUAAAUACUUGCUGUGCCUUAUAUGAUUUAAUGCAUGGAGCUGCAAGACUCCCAGAAGCCUGUGAAAGGUUUUGCAGAGCGUGGAUUAAUUGAAUAAUCUUUUGAAUAUACUAGUCCUUGGGAGGAAGAAAGGAUGUCUUACAGAAGGAAGCAGUUUGUGGGUCUCUUAGAGCUACAGUUACUGCUCUCCUGUAUUUUAAGUGUCACUCUAUCCUCUUGUGUGAAAGAAAUAAAUGACUGCAUGGUUUAAUGGAGAAGAAGUUACGCCAGCUCUUUUGAAAUGAAGAGACCUUCACCCACGUGUUACUCCUCGCUGGACUGUCGUCCUCCUGCCUCUUCACACAGAGCAAGUUUCCACGAGCGAGGCUCCCCGUCUGGCAGCAUCAGUGAUGCGCCUCAUCCAGAACCCAGUGGGCCCGCCAUGGGUUACUGGCAGCACUUUUAUCGAGGGGCAAAGAGAGGAAAUCCAGUUCCUGGAAACAGGGAGUGCAGUUUCAGAAAUCCUUCUCCCUCCCGAGUGGAGAAGUUGUUUGACCUACUGACUCAUUUCAUAGGAAUUGGGAAAACAACCUAGUGUGGUUUUCAUUGUUCAUCCUGGAGGCUUCCAAAAUCUGCGUCUGUGCAAAUAAGAUGAGCUGGAGAAAGGUAGUGUUGCCACUUGCUGUUUCUACCUGCCUGGUCUCCCGAUGGGAUUCAGUCUCUUGCUUCCAGCGCAAGUCCAGCCUGUGCCUGGGGCUCCGUUGUGUGCCUGUCCAGUGGUGAGUACGGAUGACAGCAUUGUCUGAUUUUAUGAGUUCUUGCUUCUAAAUUUCUAAAUGGCAUUUCAUCGCAGGAAAAGCUUUAAAGAGCCUUUUUCCCCCGGCACAUUUAUAUUACAUUUUAUAUUGACCUGUAGAAAAUACUCUAGGUGUGGUGAUAAUUAUAAAAAGACCACAGAACCCGUAGACAACAAUGAAAGUUAAGAGUUAAGAGAUGUUUUGAAAAACAGAUUUUUUUUAGCGUAUUGACACGAGAGCAGUUUUGAUUUUGACACAUUUAUAUUAAGUGAUUUUUGGGGGUAGUGUUAUUUAUAACACAAGUAUGGAAGAUAAUAGUAUAUUUUAACAAAAUAAUAUAAUUACUACUAGUUAAUAAUGAAAGGCAUGUCUUUCUGGCUAGCAGCAUAAUGUUUACAUGCAGAGGAUCUUUUGAUUUAUGACAUUUUGGUUUUAAUCUACUGUUAUCAAAUAAGCUAAAAGUAUCCAAAGAAGACAGAGUAUAUUAACUUGGAUAAAAGUAGAAGCUGAGAGGUGCUUGAAGUGAUUAAUAUUUGAAGUGUUAGAUUAUGGCCUCCGUAUCAUUUCAUUUAUGCCAAGUCCCCCAGAUCAUACUCAAGAUAUGAUCUUCAGCAUUGCAGCUGAUGCUUAGUGUAUAAUUAUCAUAGAGUUUCUCAUUCUCUUCGGAGAUGGCCGAGGAGAACGUUGACUUGGUCACACUAGCGCUUUCUCUUCAGCAAACAGCGUUGCAUGUGAAACGCCUUAGAGGCGGAGUUCUUAACCUUUCCAGGGUGUGGGGCCCCUGUGAGGUUGCGAUGGACACUGGAAGUCGUCUCACUACAUGCACGCACAAGCAUUUGCCCGCAUUUUCAGGGCAUUUGCAGCUACAGUGAAGCACACCCGGGACCCCGGGCGCGGGUUGCCACCUGGCAUGAGACCACACUGUGAUCUUUCCAUCCCUUGGUUUCGCAGCAGACACUGGGAUCGAAAGGGGCGGCAGCCAAGUCGAAAAUAAGUCAUCCUCUGUGGUUGCUCAGUGGGGAUGCAAAGCCCAAGAAAAGGAGGAAGGGUGGAGAAAAUAUGUGACUAAUACUAAACAAACAAAGAGAAUCCUUAGUAUUAUCACAACCACCGAACAGCCCAGAAGCCCCAGACGUCUAACCUUGGGUGUUGGGAAAGUACAAGGUGAAUUCCAGUGGAUACUUCAAGAUUCAGUGUUAAACAACUGGAGAGAGUUUUCCUUCUAAGUAAUGAAGUCUCUUUUCUUUUUUUCCAUAUGUAUGUUACCAAAUUAGAUCAGACCACAAACCAUCUGAACCCCAGCAGUAUAAAUAAUAACCGUUGUAACAAACUGGAGAAAUGGUUCUACUUGAGCAGGAGAAAUUUGGGUGGGGAUAGAUAGAAGGUAGCUUAGCUGAGUACACAAAGACCUUAU